Molecule: long non-coding RNA, 9662 nt
Organism: Lonchura striata (white-rumped munia)
Lineage: Eukaryota; Metazoa; Chordata; Aves; Passeriformes; Estrildidae
Source: RefSeq, a predicted model, not a curated record
GUUUUAUAGUUUUCAUUCUCAUAUAGAGUUAAAACCAUUAGGUAAUUUCAUGUAACUGUCUAGAAGCCAUAUAUCAAGAUACUCAUUCAAGAAAUACUUUAAAUUUCAUCUGACUAGAGGAAGACUUGUGGACUGGCUAGCACACAUUUUUCAACAGAACUCUAGUUUGGAAUUUAAGCCGUAUGAAAAGAAUAUGCUAUUUUCCAUGGAAUGUGUGUCAAUUACCGGAGUUGAGGGAAGAUUUUUUUAAUUUUUUUUCCCCUACAAAAUGUAUGACAGCAUAUCAAACAGACAGACUGAAUAUUUUUCAGGAGGAAAAGGUGGCUCACAUGGAUACCAUAGAAUUUCAUAAAGUUUCCAGUAUGGCCAAUGAAUAAGAGGGAAUACAAUGCAGAAUACAGUCUCAGCCUUAAAUGGCAAUAUGUGACAUUCAAAACACCAUGAGAAACUUAGGGUUAUAUUUUUAAGGAUUAUUAAUUUUUAUUUUUUAAUGGAUUCAGUCUAUCAGUUCAGUUUUUCUUAUUCUAUAAAUAAAUAUAACUCAUAAUUUCCAAACCUGAAUACCUUCCAUUUGAAUUGAAAAAAAUAUCAGAUAACAUGUACCUGAAGAAGUUAUUUUGUUCCUAUUUCAUUCAACUAUUCAAAUGUUUAGUCUUCCGUAUAUAUAUUUCAAAAUGUACUAUUCCUUAACUCCAAAAAGUAUCUUCAUGCCUCUUGUAGAUCAAAUUUGAUUUUUUUAAUAAUUAUGAAAGUAGAAAAUAAUUUAGAAGACUUAGAAUAAUUUAAAGAAUGUUGCUUUAGUUCUGCACUGAACAUCUGAGACUAUUGACCCCUUUUAUAAUGCAGUGUGGACUCAGAGAAAUGAUCAACCUAUGUCUACAUAGAUUUUCCUCUAAUUGCCACAUGACUGAUUUAAAAGUUUGAAAAUUAUCCUAAAUAUUAGAUAAUGGAGUAAUUUGAAUCAAUGCCAUUUCCAGAUUGUGUUGCCAUAUAGAUUUAGGUUUCCCUGUGAAGGGCAGCACUAGUCUCCAGUAAAGGUAUGUCUUUCUUGAUCAUGCUCUCACCUAACACAUCAGUGCUCAUAUAAUUCUGUGAUUUUUUUCUGUUAUACAGCCCUGUACACUCACUAUGUUAAUUAGUAUCUUAAUUGUACAUUCUUAUAUAAGAUCCUAGCUUUAUUUCUGUUUGCUAGUUUUCAGAGUUUUCUAUGAUUCUGCCGAAGAUAUAAAUCACAGGACUUUGUUUUCUUAUACUAAGUGCACAGAAAAAUAUAUUCAACUCAAAUAUAUUCUCACUUUCUUGCACCAAAACGUAUCAAACUUACUCAAGUUUUUUUAAUCAGCAGUGUGCACAGAACAUAAAAUAUUAUAUAAACUCCUUUGCAGGUGAAGACAUACAACAAAAUUUUGCUUUCACCUGCAUGUGUUUAAACACAGAACAUGUUUGUGUAUAUGAUAUUUCUGUAAAAAAAGGGGGUCCCUGAUGUGAUGUUUUUCACUGCAUAAAGCAAAAUAAGCAGCACAGCUUGAGUAAGAAACACAUGUCAGAUAAAGAAGAAAAACACUUGUGGUUAAGGGCAUAAAAAUUAAAUUUUGUCACACUUCAGUCCUUUUGCAGAAGUGCUCACCAGAAUGGUGCUGACUCUUAGCAACUAUUGCAUCAAAGUCUACAGUCAGAAGUGCAGGAAUUUUUUUUUAUGACAGGAUGCUGUUAAAGAAACAAACUGUAAUUCAUUAUUUUCUAAAAUUUCUGACCCUCUAGCAAAUAUAAUUACUCAGUUUCAUCCACAGUUAGACAUCUUCAGCAUUAGCAGGCCAAAUCCUUAUUUGUUUUGAAGGCAGUAAUCCUGUGACAUAAAUUUAUUUCUCAUCAUCAUCUAAAUUUCUUUAAAAAUUCACUUCAUGGACCUGUGUAGAUAAAUACUGAAAAACUUCCUCUUUCUGAUUGCCAUUAGUAUAAGAAAUUACUUGCUUUUAUACAGCUUUAUUGACCUUUUAUGCCCUGGAUUCAUUUGUCUCAGUAUCUUCCACAGAACAAUAUUUAGAUUUGUUAAUUUUGUAUUUGCAUGAUAGUUCUGGGAAGUUAUGCAGAAUGCACUCAUGCUCCUAAUUCUUCUUUCUUUUAUCAAGGCAUACCAAAUUUUCAAGCUGAUGCUAUUUUACUCUUUUUCUAUUUGUUACUGGAACUCUUAAUGUUCUUGGAGGCUUUGAAAGGCUUCACAUAAUAGUUCUCAUCUCUUUUGAGGCUUUUUGUAUAUAUUUUAAUUUUUUUCAAGGAUUUUCUAGGAACUACGAGCUCUUCUUUUAUGAUUCUUCAUGAUCAAUCAUUGUGCUUUCCAGUUUGCCAUCUUGGAUGAAUAUAUAAUGCAAUUACAUAAGGUUGGGUGUGGAUAUACAAAUAUGUGUUUGCAUAUGCACAUGUAUAUAGGCAUAUGCAUAUGAACAAAUAUGUUUAAACACUCAUAUGGUUAUGAGUGUGUAUACAUACAUAACAUAUAUAGAAAAUGCUCAUAUUCUUAAUGGCAUGUUUAGGCAUAUAAGAAGCACACAGGUCCUAGUUGCCAGUGUCUAGCUCUAUAAAACUAUCACAAAACAAGAUUUCCCUCUGGUGCUCUUUCUAAGGACUCCAGCUCUUCAUGACACUUUCAGAAGUGUAGUGUACAGCAGUAUCUGUGCAUCACUGUGACAAAGCACUUUUUGUCUUCUGCAAAUUGAAGUUCAUUACAUUAGUGCUGAUGUUCUCUUAGCAGGUGGUCGAUGUCAAUUAUUUUUUGCUUCUGUGUAAUGAAAGCUGCUACAUAUUCAUUUCAAUUCUGUUACAGACCUCUGAAGUUCUGACAAGCUGUGAGCAGUUCUUCUAUCAGGUAAACUUAUGAACAGCUUCCUAAUAGUUGGAAUCAUCUUGUCCUGACUAACCUGGAUUUCUCACAACUUGUCUCUAUGUUUGCCUCAUACACAGUUGAGGUUGUCCUUUUCCUUUCUCAAUUUUUAGAGCUUGUUGCAGAAGACAGGCAUCCAGACCUCCCUUGCUCCCUUACAACAGCUGUUGCCAAGUGUUGGACAAGGUGAUUUUAUUUUAACAGGUGCAUGCACAAGAUAAUUUACAUUGAUCUGAGACUUGGACUAUGUCCACGUGAGAAACUUACCUUGCCCUUGUCCAAGCCAGCACUAAUUUCUAGUCAGAUCAAACUGAGUUCUGUUCGUCUGGAAAUAACAGCCUCAAGACUAUGUGCCAGUACCAGUCACAUGGACACAAACCAACCUAAUCCUGAAUCUUGAAUAAAGUGCUCUUGACUAUACACUAUUCAGAUUAAAACAAAACAAAACAAAACAAAACAAAACAAAAAAUUCACUAAACCAGAAUAUGGUAUCACAUUAAAAAUCUCUUCCUAGUCUUCAACCUGCUGCAGUACAGAAAUUCUCAGUUUAAUUUCCAGGAUUUUGCCAUAGCUUUGAUAUAUUUUAUGCACACACACACACACACACACACACACACUCAUACAUGCAUAUAUAUAACCCCUAACUCUGAAUCUAUGGGAUUUUUAAAAAAAUAAUUUUCUAGUUAUUCAAAAAAAUGUCUGAAACAAUGGAUCUUUUUCAAAGCCUUUGUUUGUCUUAUGACUCAUUAGUGGGACAGUAACUCACUGGGUACUCAUAUUACACUGGCAACUAAAUAUGUUGAGAAACAUCCAAGUUAUGCUCAUAUAAAUCUCCCUAACAGCCAGCUAGAGCACUCCCUCUACUAUGUGCAGACACACUGCCAGUCAUAAAGAAAAGAUGGUUGAAAAGUUUUACUUUGUGUCCCUCUAGACAAUAAGUCAUCAGAAUUCAUUUUUAUGACUGAAGGCAUAAAGAGUUUAGUGGCUGUGGAGCUGCCUCUGUUUACCAGAAUUGGCUUUCUGGACUUGCACAAUGCAGUGUGCAUCAGGCAGGUAGGAAUUUGCUAUCAGCAGUAUAAAAACAUCUGUCAUGCUGUCAAGUUUAAUGAGAGGGAGGCAUGGAAGAAAAUAUUGCAAUCUAGAGAUACAAUUAGAUCUGUGGAAGAAAAGUUUGAGCCGCAUAACUUGUUCAUUGAAACACAAAAUGACCAACUCACACACACUGGCUGGGGCAGGAAGGCACCUCUGGAGAUCACCUGGUCCAAGCCUCUACUCAGAGCAGGGUCAACAACAGCAGGGUAGCCAGGAGUGUGUCCAGCUGGGUUUUUAAUAUCUCUAAGUGUAGAGGCUCCUCAGCUUCUCUAGACAACUUUUCUGGGUGUGACCUUCUUCCUCUCAAUGAAAAUUUUACUUAUGUUUAAGUCUCAUUUUGUGCCCUCUGCCUGAGAAAACUUUGUCCUCUUUACUCCCCCAUGAGGAAGCAUGACCCCUCUGAGUGUUCUCUUUUCCAGACUGACAAAUCACAUUUAUUUCAGCCUCUUCUUUCGUGCCAGAAGCUUCAGUCCUUGAGCCCCUUGAGACUGGAUUCACUCCAGUCUGUUUACAUCUCUCUCAUACUGGGAAGCCCAGUACUGGACCCAGCACUUCAGAUUUGUCUUGCCAGAGUAGAGAAAGGAUCACUUCCUUUGACCUGCUAUCAACUCUUUUGCAUAAUGCAGCCCAGGGUACCUUUAUCCUUCUUGGCUGCAAAGGCAACCUGCAAACUCGUGUCCAGACUUCAUGUCCACCAGGACACCCAGGACAUUCCCUGCAAACUACUUGCCAGAUGGAGCAUACCCUGGUACUUGGGUUAUUCCUCCCCGUGAUCAAGAUGUGGCUUUCACCGUUGUUGAUCUCCAUUUCUCCAGCCUCUCAAGGUCUUCCUGAAUAAAAGGACACCAAUCUGGUGCAUCAGCCACUCUUUCAAGUAUUGUAUCAUCUGUAAAAUCACUGAAGGUGUGCUGUAUCUUAUCAUCAGGAUCAUUAAUUAUAAUGCUGAACGGUAUUGGCACUAUUACAAUUACCCAGGGGAGAAUCUGUAUGAUGUUGCAGAACUGACAUUCAAUGCUUAUGAAAAAAGUUAUAUUCAGACAUUAUAAUAGAAACAGCUUUCCUACCAUCUUGACUAUUAGAUCAAAAUGUUUCCAUUACUUUUUUGAGUUGUCUUUUUAAUUUCAUCUAUUUUUAAGAAAACUUUUCUUCUUUAUUGAUGAAAAAAGUAAUGUUUAAAAAACAAAGCCUAACGAUUUUUAAACUAUCAUGACAUUGAUCUUAAACUAUGAUAAUACUGAAGAGUACUGAUCUAAUACUAUGAAAAUUUUGAAGAGUAUUGUUCAUGCUCUUUGUGUUGGACUUUGUUACAAUAAACAUAAUUUCAGUUUUCAGUACUGAAGUUUUCAGUAGAUGGUCAUCUAAAAGGCACAUCAUUGUCAAAUUAUAAAGAGAUAAGUUAUUAUAGUUUGUGUUAAUCUUCCUUUUCAGAUUUCAGUGGUCACUCUACUUUUUAGUUCAGAAGACUAAAGACUAUUUACUCAGUUCUUCAAGAAGUUCAAUGAUGUUUCAGUAAUUAAACUUCAUUAUGCUAUCUACUAGAGCUCUUGCACUAGACUAAAAUUCAGCUGCUGUCUUCUUGAAUGACUUUUAUUACUCUUGUUCAUGUUGUGCCCUUGGAAAUUGAACAUUAACAAAGAUUUCUCCAUCAGGGGUGACAAAGUGUUAGACCAUGAGGUGAUAAAAAGGAAAGAGAUGGCAGACAUAAAAGGAAGUGUUUUUACAUCUGUAAAUACUGCUAAAACAACAUCAGAAAAUAUUUUAGUACCAAGCUUCAAGUAAGCCCUGUUCAUUUGAUGUCCACAUGAACCUUUGCCUUUUUUUUUCCCAGAAACUGUUCCUAGGCAUGUAUUAUCCAAACACACAAUGUAUUGCUGUUUUCUUGUAUUCAUGAUUUAUGGCCAGAUAGCAUCCAACCACUAAAGGUAGAAAAACAUAUUGGAAACAUAGUGGAAAUUGCCACUGUAAUGCUUCACAUAUACUUGAUAAGUAUAGAUCUGCAAACAUACUUGAAUCAGCAUAUAGAUCAUAAAAUAAUAGAAUCAGAAUUAUUAAGAUUGGAAAAGGUCUCAAAGGUCGAGUUCUACCAUUAACCAGAUAAUAUUUAUGUUUCUGUUGGCAUCUAAAAGAAGAGACAUAGAUAAUCAUGCUUCUUCAGAACAAGAGGAUAUUCAGGGUAAUCAAGUCUAAUUCUUUUGAUCUCUGGGAUAUCACACCUUUAGCAAUUGACAAAAAUCCACCUGAGUUUUAUUAUCCACCUGCCCUAUAAAAUCACACUUCUGUCUUCCUGUCUACUUCCAUCCAUUUAUUUUUGUGUCAGUCCGGUCCUUUAGUUUAAAGAGGAGUUUUCACUUUCUGUUCUUCUUCCCUUUCUCUGUACCCCUGUCCUUCCCACUCCCUGCCAGAAGGAAAUAUCACAAGGCAUCUUACCUCCUUGGUUUUGUAGCCUUAUUAAGCCACGCAUUAGUCUACCAGCUAUAGUAUCAUCCUUCUUCUAUUUGAUAACAGUUUCUGUCAUUCACCAAUCUACAAGGCCUCCCCUGGAGUGCUCCAGUGGCUCUGCACAUAGGAAAUGUGCAGACAGAGAAGUACAGACACUGUAGUAUCAUUGCUAAUAUUAAUUUUUGUAUAUUUAAGUUCUUAAAAAUAUUUGUAGGUUGCUAUAUUUGUGAUCUAAGAAGAAAAUGAAAAAAGGAAAAGAGGGAGGAAAAAGCUCAAGCUUGUAAAUUUCAUUAAUAUCUUUGUUCAGAGUAACUGCAGUUUUUAAAAAAUUGUAAUUAAAUGAAGUAUCAGUUAAUAACAGCACAGUCUACUGUAGUAAUGUAGCUGUAUUUUCAUGGAUAUUGUACCUAUAUGUCUUGCAUUUUCCUGUAAAUUAAGUGGCAGUCAUUCAGCACUUUUUCUGCAAAGUUUAAAAGAAAUUUUCAAAAGGCAAAAUAUUCAAAAUUCCACUUUUCCUCUAAUCUCUAGUUUAGUUCCUUUCCCUCCCUUGUGCCUAAAAAUUGAUCUUUGUCAUAGUCUAUGCAAUGAGAAAAGCCUGCAGGGCCUGCACAAUAAUUGUGUCUCCAAGUAGUUUGAUAAGAUUAUUUUUGGGUGAAACCUCAGGAAUACCAUUCAGCAAUGUCAACUGAAAGAUCUGUUACAGUUAUAAAGGAUGUACAUAAAUGGUGCAGUGUACUGGCUUCAUAUAGGAAAAAUAAUGAGCUACUUCCAUGACACUGUGCACAGCAAUGUUUAUCAGGCUGUGAUUUUUGGAUCAAUGGAUGUUCUUAGGUAUUCAGAAGGAGUGCAGCAAAAUGUCUUUUUUUCUUAUAUGGAAGAAAUACAGGAACAUUGAAAAUGUAACCUACAUUCUGUACAGCAGUAAUUGAAUUUUGUUUUGGCAUUAUUUCAUAUUAUGGAUGGAUUUUUUUUUUUUUUGUGUUUGUUUGCAUGGGUGUGCUUGUGCAUGCAUAUACUAUAUUUCUGUAUUUGUAUGUUUCUAUAUUUUAACAAGGUAUCCUGCAAAUUUAAAAAGUUUGAAAAUCAAAACAGUUGUUCUUAAUUAUUCCUUCUAUCUCUAUCACAGUAUGCAAGUGCAGUAAUGAAGAAAGUCAAGAACUGUGCAUGCCACCAGCAAUAUCAAUGCUGAGGAAGUCAUGCAGCUUGUCUGAGCCCUCAUCAUUUCUUUCCAGCAGGUCAAGAACUAGUUCAAAAGUAAUGAUUCUCUUGAAUGGCAGUGUGCUCUUUCUUGAAUUUUCCUUUUAGAGAAUUAGAACUAAAGGUAUUCCUGAAUUCCCAAAUUUUUGUGCUAGACUUGAAUCACACUGACAGCCAAUAUGACCAAUAUUUUUUUUUCUUCAUUCAUAGCUAGGUCACAAACAAACUUUAACCCAAAAAUCUAUUUUUUUCAACUUUAAGAAAUGAAUCUAUGUUUACAUGUAUGAUUGGAUUGUGAGUUUGGAAAAAGAAAAAUUGCAAAAGUUUGUGAGACAACAUUAUGUCUAUAAGGUAUUAAUAGAUAUUCUGGUUGACUCGUUCCCUUUACCCCCAGUCUUAAGUGACUAAAAUACAUGCUUUUGAACUUCUUCACUCUACUUGUGUAUAUAUAUGAAGGAUUAUAUUCAAUUAUAUAAAGGAAACUUAUUCAAGUUCUUAUGGGAAAAAUCCACAUAAUAAUGAUAGCAUUCAUUUUAAUUCUAAGUUUCUUCUUUUAUACUUAUGUGUAAUAUUUAUUUUCUUCUGUAGAUUGCAGUUUGAUAAUUGUAAUUAUUCACAAUAACUUUGAGGAAAUAAAAAGAUAAGCCCUUAUAAUAUACUCCCUACAUUCUUUCACUCAUAUAUAUUGAAGCAGUCAAAUCGACAUUUAGCUUUUAACACUGAAUUUCUGCUUUAAAGUAUGUAAAAUGGAAUAUUUGACAAUAUUGCUAUCAAAAAUUAAUCCUAACACUCAUUCUGGCAAGAAACAUCUCUUUCUCAAACAGGGAAGAAUGGGAAGAGGAAGCAUUCCUGCUUCUGAGCACUUUUGCCUCCUGCCAAAAGUGGGAAGUGUAUAAAGCCUGAAGAGAAAAGACAUGCAUAUUAGGAGGAUUCAGCAAAUUUCCUGGAACUUCAGUCCCCUCUUAUGUGUUCAGAAAUUUAAUUUAUUAUCAUAUUGCCCUAAAGAUAUAAUUUAAUUUGAAAUAAUUCUGCUGUAAUUUCAACCUUUUUACAUAUUUUACUCUUUUUACUUUGGGACUGUAUCCUUUUGUGAGUGUCAAAUUCCAAGCAUUUAGAAAAAUCUACAUAGAGACUGGUUAUAGUUAAUGAAAGAAACAUAUAACUUUGCAUUUCAAAUACAAAAAUAAAACCUAGGUUUGGCAUAGUUAAGAGAAGGAUAACAUAGAAUAGAACAUUUAGAAAAUACUUGAAAUAAACCAAAAACUACUUUAUAACCUUUUUUUUUUUUUUAACUUAAUCUAAGGGAAAAUAGCUUCAUUCAGCUUUUUUAGUAUUUACAAGAGUCCUAUAUCCUUUGAAAAAUUAUUUUUAAUGGUCAAAGGUAAAAUAUAUUGAAUUCUUCUAUACAGCUAUACUGCAAUACCCUUGUUAAAGAAAGCCUUCAAAAAUGCUAAUUUGAAAUUAUGCCUGAAAAGGGACAAAUCUUAAAGCUACUUAUUUUUAAUUUUUUUGUCCAAAACAAGAAGUGAUCAGCUGUGCCACCACUGUCCACUCUUGCCUGAAGCCCUUUCAGGGAAAAGUGUGAAAAAUUAACCAGAGGAUAAAAUAAGUUCAAUAGAAAAUUAGCUUUUUGGUUAAAGCAAACAGAAGUGAACAGAAGGAGAAUAAACACGAUUUCUGUUUCUGUUUUGUUCCAUAUGCACCAAUUACAAACAAAUUGAGCUGCUGGUGGUCAGAAACCCCAAGGAUCUUGUGAUAUGUAUUCCUGUUUGUCUCUAAUCCUAUAUUAAAUAUUGUACUGAGGCCUGUUAAACAUUGAUAAGCUUUUUUUACGCUGUAAGGUCCUCCAAGAUCAUUGUGCCUAAAUACCUAAAUACCAUAAAGACCUGGAUAAGGUUUAUGCAUUGUUAUGGUGGUUUAGAUGCAUCUUACCUCUCAGUCUUAUCUCUCCAAGGGAGAAAGUCAGCCUAAUUGUAUAUUAAUAUUGGCAUCAUUAGUGAUUAGCUGUUCAAAUCUGAAAAAAAAAAAAAGUUAUUCAGUGCAGUUUUCUGAUGCU